Molecule: non-coding RNA, 237 nt
Organism: Corylus avellana
Lineage: Eukaryota; Viridiplantae; Streptophyta; Magnoliopsida; Fagales; Betulaceae
Source: RefSeq, a predicted model, not a curated record
GCUUCACGUCUGGAUCGCUCUCCACCAAGACGAAAAGAAUGAGAGAUUGGAGAAGCAAGCAGAGAUCAAGAGAGUCCGGGAGGAGUUAUUGCAACAAGCCAAACAUAGGGACCCUCUCGCUUGACUGUUGCGUUGUGCUGUGAUGCCGGUGGCACUUUUCUCUUAAAUUCCUGUUUUUUCUUGAAUUUUUAAGUUGCAGAGUUGAUAGAAUUAUAAUAAUCAAGUUAUCUGUUUUAA